GAGUUUGAUCCUGGCUCAGAUUGAACGCUGGCGGCAUGCCUUACACAUGCAAGUCGAACGGCAGCACGGGAGCUUGCUCCUGGUGGCGAGUGGCGAACGGGUGAGUAAUGCAUCGGAACGUAUCCUGGAGUGGGGGAUAACGUAGCGAAAGUUACGCUAAUACCGCAUAUUCUGUGAGCAGGAAAGCGGGGGACCUUCGGGCCUCGCGCUCUUGGAGCGGCCGAUGUCGGAUUAGCUAGUUGGUGAGGUAAAGGCUCACCAAGGCGACGAUCCGUAGCAGGUCUGAGAGGAUGAUCUGCCACACUGGAACUGAGACACGGUCCAGACUCCUACGGGAGGCAGCAGUGGGAAUUUUGGACAAUGGGGGCAACCCUGAUCCAGCCAUGCCGCGUGAGUGAAGAAGGCCUGGUUGUAAGCGUACUUCGUCGAGGAAGAAG
RNAcentral lists this ribosomal RNA (437 nucleotides) under bacterium enrichment culture clone ALO1_GLFRUDD03GHWGV. RNAcentral's name for it is "bacterial SSU rRNA". It matches the Rfam family "Bacterial small subunit ribosomal RNA", at positions 9 to 450 of the family's 1533-position model. The record is from RNAcentral.